This 442-nucleotide ribosomal RNA is filed under the name uncultured bacterium. RNAcentral describes it as "partial 16S ribosomal RNA". It matches the Rfam family "Bacterial small subunit ribosomal RNA", at positions 338 to 795 of the family's 1533-position model. The record is from RNAcentral.
CCUACGGGUGGCAGCAGUGGGGAAUAUUGGUCAAUGGGCGCUAGCCUGAACCAGCCACGUCGCGUGAAGGAUGACUGCUCUCUGGUUUUAAACUUUUUUUAAGAGGGGAGUGCAGUAGACGAUGCCUAUUGCAUAGCACACGGCUAACUACUUGCCAGCAGCCGCGGUAAUACGGAGGUGGCCAGCGUUGUCCGGAUUUACUGGGUGUAACGGGCGUGCAGGCGGGAAGGUAAGUCAGGUGUGAAAGCCAGCGGCUCAACCGCAGAAUUGCAUUUGAAACUGUUUUUCUUGAGUACCGAAGAGGUCAGCGGAAUUCGUAGUGUAGCGGUGAAAUGCGUAGAUAUAAGGAAGAACACCAGUGGCGAAGGCGGACGACUGGACGGUAACUGACGGUGAGGCGCGAAAGCGUGGGUAGCAAACAGGAUUAGAUACCCCUGUAGUC